This 345-nucleotide long non-coding RNA is filed under the name Ananas comosus (pineapple). RNAcentral's name for it is "long non-coding RNA (ACOM_LNC029862)". Lineage: Eukaryota; Viridiplantae; Streptophyta; Magnoliopsida; Poales; Bromeliaceae. The record is from RNAcentral.
UAAUUUAGAAAAUAUAUAAAAAUAAGAAGGAAUUUUAAAAAUUGACACAAACUUAAGCAAUACAACGACUACUGUCCAUCCCGUCAGCACGUCUUCAGGGUGGCGCAAUAUGAACAGUAUGAGUUUUCAGAGAUCCAAUAAAAAUGAAAAUAUAAAACUCAGUGUAGAAAUCAAUGUGAAAGAAAGGUGAGGUAGAAGAAACUAUUAAGGUGCAAGCUGAGGUUAAGUCUUCUCACACGCAUAUGUGCACCUUCACCUUUUUAACCUCUAUAUAUGGAAAAGGUUUUUGUCCAAAGAAAUAUGUUGGUCAAGAUAUUGACCCUUUCCAAUGUUGGUCCUCUUUUC